AGGACGAACGCUGGCGGCGUGCUUAACACAUGCAAGUCGAGGGGGCAGUUGGGGCAACCUGGCUGUCACCGGCGAACGGGUGCGUAACACGUGAGCGACCUACCUCUUGGCGGGGGAUAGCCGGCCCAACGGCCGGGUAAUACCGCAUACGCUCCCUUCUGGGCAUCUGGGGGGGAGGAAACUUUCGAGGCAGAGAGAGGGGCUCGCGGCCUAUCAGCUAGUUGGCGGGUAACGGCCCACCAAGGCAUCGACGGGUAGC
RNAcentral lists this ribosomal RNA (259 nucleotides) under uncultured bacterium. RNAcentral describes it as "partial small subunit ribosomal RNA". It matches the Rfam family "Bacterial small subunit ribosomal RNA", at positions 26 to 287 of the family's 1533-position model. The record is from RNAcentral.